This 72-nucleotide transfer RNA is filed under the name marine sediment metagenome. RNAcentral describes it as "tRNA-Met". It matches the Rfam family "tRNA". Rfam says of the family: Transfer RNA (tRNA) molecules are approximately 80 nucleotides in length. The record is from RNAcentral.
GGACCUUAAGCUGACUGGUGACGCGGCGGCCUCAUAAGCCGAGGGUACUAGGUUCGAAUCCUAGAGGGUCCA